ANGUGCGAUCAUACCAGCACUAAUGCACCGGAUCCCAUCAGAACUCCGCAGUUAAGCGUGCUUGGGCGAGAGUAGUACUAGGAUGGGUGACCUCCUGGGAAGUCCUUGUGUUGCACCUC
Molecule: ribosomal RNA, 119 nt
Filed under: Medicago truncatula (barrel medic)
Lineage: Eukaryota; Viridiplantae; Streptophyta; Magnoliopsida; Fabales; Fabaceae
Source: RNAcentral